GGUCUCGCUGUGCAGUUCAGGCAGGCCUUGCACUCACUUUGUAGCCCAGGCUGGCCUCAAACUCACAAUGAUCCUGCCUCAGCCUCCUGAGUGCUGGGAUUACAGGCAUGUGCCACCAUUCCCAG
RNAcentral lists this microRNA precursor (125 nucleotides) under Octodon degus (degu). RNAcentral describes it as "miRNA (ENSODEG00000021989.1)". The record is from RNAcentral. Lineage: Eukaryota; Metazoa; Chordata; Mammalia; Rodentia; Octodontidae.